RNAcentral lists this ribosomal RNA (253 nucleotides) under uncultured bacterium. Its description in RNAcentral is "partial 16S ribosomal RNA". It matches the Rfam family "Bacterial small subunit ribosomal RNA", at positions 524 to 776 of the family's 1533-position model. The record is from RNAcentral.
UACAGAGGUCCCAAGCGUUGUUCGGAUUCACUGGGCGUAAAGGGUGCGUAGGCGGUCGGGUAAGUCUGAUGUGAAAUCUCAGAGCUCAACUCUGAAACUGCACUCGAUACUGCUCUGCUUGAGGACUGGAGAGGAGACUGGAAUUCACGGUGUAGCAGUGAAAUGCGUAGAUAUCGUGAGGAAGACCAGUGGCGAAGGCGGGUCUCUGGACAGUUCCUGACGCUGAGGCGCGAAGGCCAGGGGAGCAAACGGG